RNAcentral lists this long non-coding RNA (550 nucleotides) under Spirodela polyrhiza (greater duckweed). RNAcentral's name for it is "long non-coding RNA (SPOL_LNC001114)". The record is from RNAcentral. Lineage: Eukaryota; Viridiplantae; Streptophyta; Magnoliopsida; Alismatales; Araceae.
UGACACAUCUCUUGUCGAAGAUAUUCCAGCUUACAAAUUCGCCAGUCCAGGGAAAUCUUUUGACGCAUCGGUGUGAGAGAGCAAACGCAUUUUGUGAGUCACUUCGUGCUCUGGAUGCUACAGGUUAGUUAUGAACAUUAACCCAAUCUUUUAUAUAAACCCAAUCAUGUCUUAUUACAGUUGCGAGAGAUUAUUCAAAUUAGGCAUUUUAUAUGUUUGUGUUUGUUCUAUAGCCGCUAUUCUGUCAUAUGGUGGAAUACAUGGAUUGCUAACAUUAAUAUAUGGGUGCGGCCCUGAUAUUCAGGAAAUUGUCAACGAAGGCAUUUUUCAUCCUUCUCACUUUGAGCGUUUUCAGUUCGAAAAUCUUUAUGCGGGAUGAGGAAGCAAAAGGGGACGAAGGAAAGGAAGAGGAAUAAAUAAAAAAUUGAACAGAGUAGGACAUAACUUUCAAGGAAUGUUUUUUUUCUCCAGGGCACAAAUUCUGCUCUUUUUCCGCUUUUUCUGUGUUUGAAAAACUUUAUUUCAUUAAUGAUACACACUAAUACAGAGA